This 254-nucleotide ribosomal RNA is filed under the name uncultured bacterium. RNAcentral describes it as "partial 16S ribosomal RNA". It matches the Rfam family "Bacterial small subunit ribosomal RNA", at positions 524 to 776 of the family's 1533-position model. The record is from RNAcentral.
GACGUAGGGCGCGAGCGUUGUCCGGAUUUAUUGGGCGUAAAGAGCUCGUAGGCGGCUUGUCGCGUCAACUGUGAAAACCCGUGGCUCAACCAUGUGGUCUGCAGUCGAUACGGGCAGGCUAGAAUUCGGUAGGGGAGACUGGAAUUCCUGGUGUAGCGGUGAAAUGCGCAGAUAUCAGGAGGAACACCGAUGGCGAAGGCAGGUCUCUGGGCCACUACUGACGCUGAGAAGCGAAAGCAUGGGGAGCGAACAGG